GGGGCGGAGCCCGGGGGAGAGACGGUUGAGAGACACCGCAACGGCGCGCGGGAUCCUUCCGCCAAACGGGCGGGGGAAAUAGACCCCCCAUGGCGGGAGAGUGAAGUUGCAAAGUUGGCGCGCGCGAGUUGGAGGCGGACUCUGUCGCCCCCAUUCCAGUUCAUGUUUCUCAAAACAAGAGGGAUCAGAGGAUUCCUUUCCAUGAAUGUCUUGCAAGGUGGUUUCCCCAUCGAGAGAUUAAUUAUCUGCAAGCCCUGUCUUCCCACGUUGCUGCAGCAUGGUGUGGGAUGCACCCAUCCAGAUCUGAGCCCCUUUCCUGCUGCUGACCUCGGCUAUGGAGCCUCAGGAUUCUCCUCAGCUCCGCUCAGCCCUCUGCUCCACUUUGCCCACUCACCAACUCACUGUCCCAAGGAGGCUAUCUAAACAGCUCUGCAGAAAGGAGAUUCCACCAAGCCUGCCAACCAGUUUGAGUUCUCAUCCCCGACAUCCCCAUGGAGGAUAAGAGCAAACUACUGCAGGUUGUCCUCUGAUCUGACCUCUGAGCAGACAUACGUACAAAAUAAAAUGUAAUGAAAUUUUUUAAUAAAAAACUACCUCAAAGCUG
Molecule: long non-coding RNA, 604 nt
Organism: Mastomys coucha (southern multimammate mouse)
Lineage: Eukaryota; Metazoa; Chordata; Mammalia; Rodentia; Muridae
Exons: 3
Source: RefSeq, a predicted model, not a curated record